RNAcentral lists this ribosomal RNA (33 nucleotides) under Globisporangium ultimum. RNAcentral's name for it is "partial 28S ribosomal RNA". Lineage: Eukaryota; Oomycota; Peronosporomycetes; Pythiales; Pythiaceae. The record is from RNAcentral.
AUGGACCUGAUAUCAGACAAGACACCCCCUUUC